UCCGUAGGUGAACCUGCGGAGGGAUCAUUACAGAGUUCAUGCCCUCCUGGGUAGAUCUCCCACCCUGUGUUAUCGUCACCUUUGUUGCUUUGGCGGGCCGCCCAGGCCCCUCGGCCAGGCUACCGGCUCCGGCUGGUACGCGCCCGCCAGAGGACCCCCAACUCUUGAAUAUCAGUGUCGUCUGAGUACUAUAUAAUAGUUAAAACUUUCAACAACGGAUCUCUUGGUUCUGGCAUCGAUGAAGAACGCAGCGAAAUGCGAUAAGUAAUGUGAAUUGCAGAAUUCAGUGAAUCAUCGAAUCUUUGAACGCACAUUGCGCCCCUUGGUAUUCCGAGGGGCAUGCCUGUUCGAGCGUCAUGACAACCCUCAAGCACUGCUUGGUGUUGGGCCCCGCUGGCAGCGGCGGGCCUUAAAGUCAGUGGCGGUGCCAUCGGGCCCUGAGCGUAGUAAAUCUCCUCGCUACAGGGACUCGGUGGACGCUGGCCAUCAACCCCAACUCUCUCAGUUUGACCUCGGAUCAGGUAGGGAUACCCGCUGAACUUAAGCAUAUCAAUAAGGCGGGAGGGGAAGGUCGGACUGGCCAAGGGCACACAGGGGGGGAUA
Molecule: ribosomal RNA, 603 nt
Filed under: uncultured fungus
Lineage: Eukaryota; Fungi
Description: eukaryotic LSU rRNA
Rfam family: 5.8S ribosomal RNA (bases 204-357)
Source: RNAcentral